Molecule: non-coding RNA, 168 nt
Filed under: human gut metagenome
Source: RNAcentral
UAUAUUGGUACAAUUUCUUAUGGAAUUGUUUAAAAGGGAAGUUGGGUGAAAAUCCCACACGGUCCCGCCACUGUAAUAGACAGGAUCUUACGUAUGCCACUGUAUCUAAUAUAAGAUAUGGGAAGGUGUAAGAUUUGUAUGCUUAAGUCAGGAGACCUGCCAAUAUAA